This is a non-coding RNA of Drosophila suzukii, 219 nucleotides long. NCBI's taxonomy places the organism in Eukaryota, Metazoa, Arthropoda, Insecta, Diptera, Drosophilidae. The record is from RefSeq and is a predicted model, not a curated record.
UGGAUGACGAAAUGUUUUGUGCCAAUAAAAAUUCUGCAACAAGCUAUAAAAGGAGCGUUGGCCAAGGAUUCAGAGGAUCCGGACAAAGGUUUAAGAACGGCGAUGUCUAACGUUAAAAAUAAGGUUACGAAGCAAAAGAACAGAAACAAUAACUGUACAAUUUUUGAAAAUCUAAAUAGUACCAUAUAAUUAAAAUAAAUUAAAAUGAAAUGAAUUAAA